UGGCGAACGGGUGAGUAACACGUGGGCAAUCUGCCCUGCACUCUGGGACAAGCCCUGGAAACGGGGUCUAAUACCGGAUAAUACUUCCUGGGGCAUCCUGGGGGGUUGAAAGCUCCGGCGGUGCAGGAUGAGCCCGCGGCCUAUCAGCUUGUUGGUGGGGUGAUGGCCUACCAAGGCGACGACGGGUAGCCGGCCUGAGAGGGCGACCGGCCACACUGGGACUGAGACACGGCCCAGACUCCUACGGGAGGCAGCAGUGGGGAAUAUUGCACAAUGGGCGGAAGCCUGAUGCAGCGACGCCGCGUGGGGGAUGACGGCCUUCGGGUUGUAAACCUCUUUCAGCAGGGAAGAAGCGUGAGUGACGGUACCUGCAGAAGAAGCGCCGGCUAACUACGUGCCAGCAGCCGCGGUAAUACGUAGGGCGCAAGCGUUGUCCGGAAUUAUUGGGCGUAAAGAGCUCGUAGGCGGCUUGUUACGUCGGUUGUGAAAGCCCGGGGCUCAACCCCGGGUCUGCAGUCGAUACGGGCAGGCUGGAGUGUGGUAGGGGAGAUCGGAAUUCCUGGUGUAGCGGUGAAAUGCGCAGAUAUCAGGAGGAACACCGGUGGCGAAGGCGGAUCUCU
Molecule: ribosomal RNA, 620 nt
Filed under: Streptomyces sp. I12A-00986
Lineage: Bacteria; Bacillati; Actinomycetota; Actinomycetes; Kitasatosporales; Streptomycetaceae
Description: bacterial SSU rRNA
Rfam family: Bacterial small subunit ribosomal RNA
Source: RNAcentral